This is a small nuclear RNA of Artibeus jamaicensis (Jamaican fruit-eating bat), 192 nucleotides long. RefSeq annotates it as U2 spliceosomal RNA. The transcript has a single exon. The record is from RefSeq and is a predicted model, not a curated record. Lineage: Eukaryota; Metazoa; Chordata; Mammalia; Chiroptera; Phyllostomidae.
AUCAUGUCUCAAGCCUUUUGGCUAAGAUCAAGUGUAGUAUCUGUUCUUGUCAGUUUAACAUCUGAUAUGUCUUCUAUCUGAGGACAAUAUAGUAGAUGGAUUUUUGGAGCAGGGAAAUAGAACAGGAGCUUUCUGUGUCCAUGCUGUGCAUUCACAUGGUAUUGCAGUACCUCUGGGAAUGGUGUACGGCCU